GGAAAGGGUGUAGCUCAGUGAUAGAGCAUGUGAUCUGCAUGUAGAAGGUUGCAGGUUCAAUUCCUGGUAUCUCCA
Podarcis lilfordi (Lilford's wall lizard) is the source of this 75-nucleotide non-coding RNA. The record is from the annotation of a GenBank genome assembly. NCBI's taxonomy places the organism in Eukaryota, Metazoa, Chordata, Lepidosauria, Squamata, Lacertidae.